GUGCUCACUUCGCCAGCACAUACACUAAAAUUGGAACAAUAUAGAGAAGAUUAGCCUGGCCCCUG
Small nuclear RNA from Erinaceus europaeus (western European hedgehog), 65 nucleotides. Lineage: Eukaryota; Metazoa; Chordata; Mammalia; Eulipotyphla; Erinaceidae. The record is from Ensembl.